GCUGGCUCCGGCAGUUCACAUACUAAAAUCGGAGUGAUACAGAGAAGGCUAGAGUAGUCCCUAUGCAAGGAUGACACGCAAAUUUGUGAAGUAUUCCAUAUUUUU
This is a small nuclear RNA of Mobula hypostoma (lesser devil ray), 105 nucleotides long. Lineage: Eukaryota; Metazoa; Chordata; Chondrichthyes; Myliobatiformes; Myliobatidae. The record is from RefSeq and is a predicted model, not a curated record.